This 396-nucleotide ribosomal RNA is filed under the name uncultured bacterium. RNAcentral describes it as "partial 16S ribosomal RNA". It matches the Rfam family "Bacterial small subunit ribosomal RNA", at positions 523 to 918 of the family's 1533-position model. The record is from RNAcentral.
AUACGUAGGUGGCAAGCGUUAUCCGGAUUUACUGGGUGUAAAGGGCGCGUAGGCGGGGGUGCAAGUCAGAUGUGGAAUCUAUGGGCUUAACUCAUAAACUGCAUUUGAAACUGUAUCUCUUGAGUGCUGGAGAGGUAGACGGAAUUCCUUGUGUAGCGGUGAAAUGCGUAGAUAUAAGGAAGAACACCAGUGGCGAAGGCGGUCUACUGGACAGUAACUGACGCUGAGGCGCGAAAGCGUGGGGAGCAAACAGGAUUAGAUACCCUGGUAGUCCACGCUGUAAACGAUGAAUACUAGGUGUGGGGGGACUGACCCCCUCCGUGCCGCAGUUAACACAAUAAGUAUUCCACCUGGGGAGUACGGCCGCAAGGUUGAAACUCAAAUGAAUUGACGGGG